UUCUUGUUCGUUGGAUGGAUCAACUUGAUUCUGACGGUACAUGGAUUCCCAAAGAGAGACUUCAGCAGUGUGAGCCAAAUUUAUUGGAGCUUUAUAAGAGUCAGCAAAAUUCUCACUCGCCUAAGUUAUCUUGGUUAGCUCAUGUUUUUGCGGGUAAUUUGCAAUUGGCAUCGUCACCAUUUGUGGAAUUUUGAUAUUUGGUUCGUCAGAAAGAUCGUCCUCCAUGGCAUGACUUGGAGCCUUUAGCAUCAGAUUCAUUGCAACAUUUUGAUUUAUCCACUCGACGGGGUCGAGUUUUUCUCCCACCCCGGGAGAGUUGAUGCGGACAUCCAUUUACUAUUUAUUUUCUUUUUGGACUAUUAGUUAUAUUCUAUUUGGAUUAUUAUUUAUAUUUCUGUUAUUGGGCUUGUUUAGUGGGUUUGGCCCAAGCCAUUCUCUUUAGGGUUUAUGUUCUACUAUUUAUUUCUGUUUUGUUUCUCAUUUGAGACAGUUGAUGAUGAAUUAGAAUUGAAAUAUUUUUGGUGGCUUGCAGCCGUUUUCUCCCUCCCCUCUCUUCCCCUGGUUUCUUCUCCUCUUCUCCCUUCUCUCUGUUUCUCCUCCCCGUUCCUCCUUCUUUCUUUCUUAUUCAUCCUACAUCACAAG
This 642-nucleotide long non-coding RNA is filed under the name Olea europaea (common olive). Its description in RNAcentral is "long non-coding RNA (OEUR_LNC003844)". Lineage: Eukaryota; Viridiplantae; Streptophyta; Magnoliopsida; Lamiales; Oleaceae. The record is from RNAcentral.